UAACUGCGAUACUUAGUGCGAACUGCAGAUAUUUUGAGCACUGAGGCUUCUAAUGCACAUUGCGCCAUCGGAGCAACACCUUUGGCACAUCUGGUUCAGGGUUGUCUAAUCGAAACGAACGCCUCUUCGUUCACACGGUGGGAUCACGGCUCAGGCAGUGUUCCCGCCUCUUGUCGCUUGUUUGGCCUGAUGUUCCGCUCGAUUGCGGUACGGCCCAAACAGCGAACAUAUAAGAGCCAGGCAACGCGCUCGCCAGCCGGCGGCAGUCAAUCACAGCCGUCGAUUGCUCUGUCGCACGCUUGUUCGGCUGGCGGCGCAUAGCCGUAGAGGGCUCUCGCUACAGCGACCUGAACUCAGGUGAGAUCACCUGCUGAACUUAA
Molecule: unclassified non-coding RNA, 380 nt
Filed under: uncultured fungus
Lineage: Eukaryota; Fungi
Description: sequence contains ITS1
Rfam family: 5.8S ribosomal RNA (bases 1-104)
Source: RNAcentral